Molecule: long non-coding RNA, 203 nt
Filed under: Arabidopsis lyrata
Lineage: Eukaryota; Viridiplantae; Streptophyta; Magnoliopsida; Brassicales; Brassicaceae
Description: long non-coding RNA (ALYR_LNC000824)
Source: RNAcentral
UAGACCAUCUUUAUCAAUGGAUUCUUAAGAAAAUCUUAAGAUGAUCUUAGUAAUUUUUUAGUAUUAUUACUGAGAACCAAAGUUAAGAUUUACCUCUUUUUGGCUCUUAGGUAAGCAACUCUCUCAACUCAUCUUAACUUUGGUUCUUAGUAAUAAUACUAAAAAAUUACUAAAAUCAUCUUAAAAUUUUCUUAAGAAUCCAU